This 312-nucleotide ribosomal RNA is filed under the name Triticum aestivum (bread wheat). RNAcentral's name for it is "partial small subunit ribosomal RNA". Lineage: Eukaryota; Viridiplantae; Streptophyta; Magnoliopsida; Poales; Poaceae. The record is from RNAcentral.
AUGAUGCAUGAUACCCUCCCAGUCAAGCUUGGAGAUGGAACCGAGGGUUAUGCCAGUGGCUUCAUGCUUGGAACCGACAAGUGGGCCAGCAUCAUGAUGAACUGGUCAUGGUUUCACAACCACACAAACAUCCAGGAAGGUGUCAUAUGUGCCUUCCACUUCAAGCGCAAGGCAAGGUGUCACGUCUCUCACUGUGCAUCGUCUCUAGGUGCACCACCGUCAACUACAGCUAUGGCCUAUACAUAUGAUCCGUGUAUCGACUCUGCCUCUCUUUGGGAGGUCGCCCGUCUUUUGGAGGAUGUUAGACUUUAA